RNAcentral lists this ribosomal RNA (420 nucleotides) under uncultured bacterium. RNAcentral describes it as "bacterial SSU rRNA". It matches the Rfam family "Bacterial small subunit ribosomal RNA", at positions 355 to 774 of the family's 1533-position model. The record is from RNAcentral.
UGGGGAAUCUUAGGCAAUGGGGGAAACCCUGACCUAGCCAUGCCGCGUGGAGGAAGACACCCCUACGGGGCGUAAACUCCUUUUCUGUCGGAAGAAAACCCUGUUCUGCAGGGCGUGACGGUACGGCAGGAAUAAGCACCGGCUAACUCCGUGCCAGCAGCCGCGGUAAUACGGAGGGUGCAAGCGUUGUCCGGAAUCACUGGGCGUAAAGGGUGUGCAGGUGGGACAGCAAGUCAGAGGUGAAAGCCCGCGGCUCAACCGUGGAAGUGCCUUUGAAACUGCUGUUCUUGAGUCCUGGAGAGGUUGCUGGAAUUCGUGGUGUAGCGGUGAAAUGCGUAGAUAUCACGAGGAACACCAGAGGCGAAAGCGAGCAACUGGACAGGUACUGACGCUGAGGCACGAGAGCGUGGGGAGCAAACA